CCUCCAUCUUCAGGGUUAAUAUUUAUAUUCUCCCCAGAAUAAAAAUUUAAUAAGUUAGGUAAAGGUGUAGACUAUAUAGAAGAUAAGAUGGGUUACAAUAAAUUUCUAUUUAAGAAUAGAAAAUCAAAAUUUUUAUUGAAAAAGGAUUUAUAAGUAAAUGAAGAACAAUAUUCUUCCUUGAAAUUGAUAAACAAUGUGCACAUAUCGCCCGUCACCCUUAUCUAAAGGUAAGGUAAGUCGUAACAUAGUUGAUGUUUUGGAAAAAGCAUCAAGAACUUUAAAGCUAUAUUCAGCAUUUCACUUACACUGAAAAGAUAGAAAUAGCUUAUUCCUAAUUUUUUAUAAUAAAAAUACUUAUUUUAAUAAAAUUUUAUAUUAAUUUUUGUAACCACUGUAAAGGUUUAAUAAACUAUUUAAAAGAAAUUUGAUUUUCCUUUAGUAUCAGGAAUAUUCAAACCUUAUUUAAAAUUAAUUUUUCCUGAAAAAAGGUCAUCUAUAAAUUUAUUUUAUUAUUGUAUCAAAAAUAUUGUUAAUAAAUUUAUUGAAGUUAGACUCUAUCCGAACCUUUUGAUAUCCGGUUUCUUUUUAUUUUUAAAAAAUAAUUAUAUUUAAAAAGAUAAUUUUUUAAAUUCAUUUCUUAAUCCUUUCUAGUUUAUUAGGAAUAAAAGUUUCCAAAAAGUUUCAUAACCAUAUCUUUACUUAAUUUAAAUUUUUUAUAAAAGAUUACCUUUAUUAAUUAUAAUAAUGAAAAUAUUAGUAGAAUUAUCUUCAUUAUUAACUCAAUAACUAGGCAAAAAAUUGAAUGACUGUUUACCAAAAACAUUUCUUACUGAAUUUAUUGUAAGUAACACCUGCUCAAUGAAUAUUUUAAAUAGCCGCGGAAAUUUAACCGUGCUAAGGUAGCAUAAUCAUUAGCCUCUUAAUUAGAGGCUCGUAUGAACGGUGAAACAUUUCAAUUACUUUUUUACUUAAUAUAUUUAAAUUUAAAUUAAGAAUAAAAAUGUUCUUAUUUAUAAAAUAGACGAUAAGACCCUUUUGAACUUCACUCUAGUUUAGCUGGGGCAGCUAAAAAAUAAUAAUCUUAUUUUUGAUAUUUAAAUAAUUGACCCAAUAAAAUUGAUUACAUGAACAAGUUACCAUAGGGAUAACAGCGUAAUAUCUUUUUAAAGCUCUUAUUAAAAAAGAAGAUUGCGACCUCGAUGUUGAAUUAAUGUAACUUUACUGAUGCAGUAAUUUUAAAAGUAGGUCUGUUCGACCUUUAAAACAUUACAUGAUUUGAGUUCAAAUCGGUGUAAACCAGAUUGGUUUCUAUCUUUUAUUUUUAUUUAUUCAGUACGAAAGGACCAAUAAAUUUAUUUUUAAUAUUCUUAUGGCAGAUUAAUGCAUUAGAUUUAGAAUCUAUCAAUUCUAUUAUUUCCCCUUUUUUGAAUU
Molecule: ribosomal RNA, 1431 nt
Filed under: Argiope bruennichi
Lineage: Eukaryota; Metazoa; Arthropoda; Arachnida; Araneae; Araneidae
Description: large subunit ribosomal RNA
Source: RNAcentral